GAUGAACGCUGGCGGCGUGCCUAAUACAUGCAAGUAGAACGCUGAAAGAGGAGCUUGCUCUUCUGGAUGAGUUGCGAACGGGUGAGUAACGCGUAGGUAACCUGCCUGGUAGCGGGGGAUAACUAUUGGAAACGAUAGCUAAUACCGCAUGACAACAGUUAUUGCAUGAUAACUGUUUAAAAGGGGCAACUGCUCCACUACCAGAUGGAUCUGCGUUGUAUUAGCUAGUUGGUGAGGUAACGGCUCACCAAGGCGACGAUACAUAGCCGACCUGAGAGGGUGAUCGGCCACACUGGGACUGAGACACGGCCCAGACUCCUACGGGAGGCAGCAGUAGGGAAUCUUCGGCAAUGGACGGAAGGCUGACCGAGCAACGCCGCGUGAGUGAAGAAGGUUUUCGGAUCGUAAAGCUCUGUUGUAAGAGAAGAACGAGUGUGAGAGUGGAAAGUUCACACUGUGACGGUAUCUUACCAGAAAGGGACGGCUAACUACGUG
Molecule: ribosomal RNA, 495 nt
Filed under: uncultured bacterium
Lineage: Bacteria
Description: partial 16S ribosomal RNA
Rfam family: Bacterial small subunit ribosomal RNA
Source: RNAcentral